AAGCAAAGCAAAACCUAUGAUUCUCACACUCACUCAAUAGACCAGCCACCACUCCUAAACCCUUGCAAAGCCCUAAAACAUCUCAGAUUGGAUUGCAAUGGCUUGGCGUUCUGGUUCUCUCUCUCGUUCCUUAAUGUCCACAGCUAGGGCUUCUCUCCGGCCGUCGGCACCGUCAUCCCUUCCCCGCCUCCGUCCGCCUCCAGUCACUGCCCCUCGCGUCCAGUCCCGCCGCUUUUCCAUGCCGGCUACCAGGAAUCUGGGGCAAUUGGGCUGCACACAAUCACUUUUACCUCUGCAAAGUACAAUGGCUAUUACCUGCAUGACGUCACACGUUGCUGUCAGUGCUCGUGCCUGUUGCGAGCUGUCCCAUGGUACCUUCCGUCGUUCUUGUCAAGAUCGCUAGUAGUCUCUUUGGAAUGGAAAAGAUGGGUGAUGCGCCAGGACAUUGAUCAUCUUCCAAUGGCGAGAGAAGAAUGCUGCAUAGUGAUCCUGAUUCCUGAGGUACGUGAGGAAGCUGUUGAACUUUCAUAGUUGCCUUUGAGGAUACGGGUGGCCAAUAAUUAUGAGUAGUGUUUUCUGCGAAGUAACAGUUGUUGGACUAUCGAAUUAGACUCAUCGGUUAUGUUAUUAUCAUCUGUGGUACUUAUUCAACACUGAAAACCAUUUUUCUCCCCAAAUCCGAACAACAUUCAGGAUUAGUUCUUUAUUCUUCUUGUAUCCAGCUUUGUUUAAUUGCUGUACAUUUUUGGUCU
Molecule: non-coding RNA, 752 nt
Organism: Vigna umbellata (rice bean)
Lineage: Eukaryota; Viridiplantae; Streptophyta; Magnoliopsida; Fabales; Fabaceae
Source: RefSeq, a predicted model, not a curated record